This is a non-coding RNA of Oryza brachyantha (malo sina), 196 nucleotides long. The record is from Rfam. NCBI's taxonomy places the organism in Eukaryota, Viridiplantae, Streptophyta, Magnoliopsida, Poales, Poaceae.
UUUUCGUUUUUCCGUGUCCAACGUUUGACCAUUCGUCUUAUUUGAAUAAUUUGUAUAAAAACUUAAAAGAAUUAGUCACGCAUAAACUAUUAUUCAUGUUUUAUUAUCUAGUAAGAAAAAAUAUUAAUCAUAAAAUUUUUUUAAAUAAGACGAAUGGUCAAACGUUAGACAAGAAAAAACGAAAAAUGAUCUUAUU